GAUGAACGCUGGCGGCGUGCCUAAUACAUGCGAGUCGAGCGAACAGACGAGGAGCUUGCUCCUCUGACGUUAGCGGCGGACGGGUGAGUAACACGUGGAUAACCUACCUAUAAGACUGGGAUAACUUCGGGAAACCGGAGCUAAUACCGGAUAAUAUAUUGAACCGCAUGGUUCAAUAGUGAAAGACGGUUUUGCUGUCACUUAUAAAUGGAUCCGCGCCGCAUUAGCUAGUUGGUAAGGUAACGGCUUACCAAGGCAACGAUGCGUAGCCGACCUGAGAGGGUGAUCGGCCACACUGGAACUGAGACACGGUCCAGACUCCUACGGGAGGCAGCAGUAGGGAAUCUUCCGCAAUGGGCGAAAGCUUGACGGAGCAACGCCGCGUGAGUGAUGAAGGUCUUCGGAUCGUAAAACUCUGUUAUUAGGGAAGAACAAAUGUGUAAGUAACUAUGCACGUCUUGACGGUACCUAAUCAGAAAGCCACGGCUAACUACGUG
This 497-nucleotide ribosomal RNA is filed under the name uncultured bacterium. RNAcentral's name for it is "partial 16S ribosomal RNA". It matches the Rfam family "Bacterial small subunit ribosomal RNA", at positions 28 to 507 of the family's 1533-position model. The record is from RNAcentral.